RNAcentral lists this transfer RNA (74 nucleotides) under Staphylococcus aureus. Its description in RNAcentral is "tRNA-Met". It matches the Rfam family "tRNA". Rfam says of the family: Transfer RNA (tRNA) molecules are approximately 80 nucleotides in length. Their secondary structure includes four short double-helical elements and three loops (D, anti-codon, and T loops). Lineage: Bacteria; Bacillati; Bacillota; Bacilli; Caryophanales; Staphylococcaceae. The record is from RNAcentral.
CGCGGGAUGGAGCAGUUCGGUAGCUCGUCGGGCUCAUAACCCGAAGGACGGUGGUUCAAAUCCGCCUCCCGCAA